ACCAGACUCCUACGGGAGGCAGCAGUGGGGAAUAUUGGGCAAUGGAGGAAACUCUGACCCAGCAACGCCGCGUGAAGGAUGAAGGUUUUCGGAUUGUAAACUUCUGUCGCGAGGGAUGAAGAAUGACGGUACCUCGUAAGAAAGCCCCGGCAAACUACGUGCCAGCAGCCGCGGUAAUACGUAGGGGGCGAGCGUUAUCCGGAUUUAUUGGGUUUAAAGGGUGCGCAGGCGGGCUGUUAAGCCGGCGGUAAAAAUUCAGGGCUCAACCCUGUCGAGCCGUCGGAACUGGCAGUCUUGAGUGGGCGAGAAGUAUGCGGAAUGCGUGGUGUAGCGGUGAAAUGCAUAGAUAUCACGCAGAACGCCGAUUGCGAAGGCAGCAUACCGGCGCCCAACUGACGCUGAGGCACGAAAGCGUGGGGAUCGAACAGGAUUAGAUACCCUCGUAC
RNAcentral lists this ribosomal RNA (446 nucleotides) under uncultured bacterium. RNAcentral's name for it is "bacterial SSU rRNA". It matches the Rfam family "Bacterial small subunit ribosomal RNA", at positions 330 to 793 of the family's 1533-position model. The record is from RNAcentral.